This 1613-nucleotide long non-coding RNA is filed under the name Homo sapiens (human). RNAcentral's name for it is "HSALNT0373489". The record is from RNAcentral. Lineage: Eukaryota; Metazoa; Chordata; Mammalia; Primates; Hominidae.
GCCAACCAGCAGCUCCCUUGGUAGGGGCAUGCAGAAGACCUGAUGACACAAACCCUCCAAAGAGUUUCACCCUCACCACAACAGGUGGCUUCCUGCUCGGCAGCCCAUCCUGCAUCACUUCAGUGGACUUCUCUGACAUCUACUAGACCACAUUAAAUGAAUCACAGCCUUGAAACUGAACUGGAAGGACUUCCUUCAAGGAGCCAGCAUAUGAACUUGCUGCCUAUCUUUAGCAAGGAGAUGCAAAUGACAUCCACAAACCUCUUCUGCUGUAUACCUGGAUGAAAGCAAGGCUAGCUGUGUGUCCUAUGGCACCAAGGACUGAAAGAUUGUAAGAAGUAAGAGGGAAAGUGAUCCAAAAAGGUGGAACACCUAAUGUACAGCCCCAAGGAAGGAGCAUACUUGGAGAAUUCAAGGAACAGAAAGAAAAACAGGAAGGCUGGAGUGAAACUGAUUAAAUAAAGCAUCGUAACAUUAGAGGUCCAUCAUAGAGGCCAAGCCAAAUACAACUAUGUUUUCAAGCAUAAGAUGGAUAGAUGUGGUAAACCACAAGAAGCAAACAGCCCUUUAGAGGUGUGGAUUGACCUUGCAGAGUUACAAGUGGAGCCAGGAGAAAUCAUGUUGAGUGGGACUUCUCAUCCUACCUAAGAGAGACUAACAGAUGGAAAGCUGGGUACAGAAGGGAGAGAAGGCAGUAACAGUCAGAUUUCAAUACGCUGAGACUGUGACGUGGGACUUUUGAGUGAGUAACAUCUGCUCCUAGAACUGAGUUGAGUGGGGAUCCUCCCACACCACCCAGGCAAGAGAACUAACAAUUGAUGACUGCUCCAAAUCAGUCGCCAGUCUACCUAAUACUUCUACCUGGUAGGUAGCCUGAUACCCACUAACAUCAGAAAUCUCUAUUCAAAAUGAUGAAACAAUGAGGAAACGUUUUAUUUCACAUAACAAACUGUCCUAAGGGAAAGUGACUCCAAGGCCCCAGCAGCUUUUCAUCUUUCUGCUCUAUCACUCUCAGCAAGUCAGCUUGUCUUCAAGCCAGCCAUCCUCAUGGUCACAAGAUGGCUGCCUCAGAUGCAAACAUGACAACUUCUAGCAGGAGAGUAGAGCAUCUUUUCCUACAGGACUCUCAACACACACACAUCUCUUUGCAUCUCUUUUGCCUCUGCACAAAUCUUAAAACAAGCCACUGACAAGAGAAAUUAGAUCACUGUGACUGGCUUAAAGAAGUCUACAACUGUGUGGGGGUGGAUCACGUGAACAGAAUUAACAAAGUGGGAAAAAGUGUUGGCUUUGCCAGAAGUGCUCUUCCUCUCUGUCCAGUGGGCAAGCACCAAUUCAUUUUCAAACUCUCCACUGAAGCAUCAAUUUUCUGUAAUGCCUUUCUUGACCUCAGAUGUGAUGCCAGAAGUAGAGCAGCCAUCUUGCAACCACAAAGCAACAGCAUGAGUAUGAAAGUUAGUGCAUUAAGGAUGCUGGAAUAGAAUGAUUGAAAGCCAGAUGCCUAAUGACGUUGCUGAAUAGCUGAAACAAUACCAGCAACUAGCUGGUAAAUAUGUCUUAAAACCAGCAAAUAUGUCUCUCUCAUUAUGUGAGAAAGAUAAGCGUGUUGCUUG